GAUGAACGCUGGCGGCGUGCCUAAUACAUGCAAGUCGAGCGAACGGACGAGAAGCUUGCUUCUCUGAUGUUAGCGGCGGACGGGUGAGUAACACGUGGAUAACCUACCUAUAAGACUGGGAUAACUUCGGGAAACCGGAGCUAAUACCGGAUAAUAUUUUGAACCGCAUGGUUCAAAAGUGAAAGACGGUCUUGCUGUCACUUAUAGAUGGAUCCGCGCUGCAUUAGCUAGUUGGUAAGGUAACGGCUUACCAAGGCAACGAUGCAUAGCCGACCUGAGAGGGUGAUCGGCCACACUGGAACUGAGACACGGUCCAGACUCCUACGGGAGGCAGCAGUAGGGAAUCUUCCGCAAUGGGCGAAAGCCUGACGGAGCAACGCCGCGUGAGUGAUGAAGGUCUUCGGAUCGUAAAACUCUGUUGUUAGGGAAGAACAUAUGUGUAAGUAACUGGGAACAUCUUGACGGUACCUAAUCAGAAAGCCACGGCUAACUACGUG
Molecule: ribosomal RNA, 497 nt
Filed under: uncultured bacterium
Lineage: Bacteria
Description: partial 16S ribosomal RNA
Rfam family: Bacterial small subunit ribosomal RNA
Source: RNAcentral